GGGCGUAAAGCGCAUGCAGGUGGUUUGUUUAAGUCAGAUGUGAAAGCCCGGGGCUCAACCUCGGAAUUGCAUUUGAAACUGGCAAACUAGAGUACUGUAGGAGGGGGUAGAAUUUCAGGUGUAGCGGUGAAAUGCGUAGAGAUCUGAAGGAAUACCGGUGGCGAAGGCGGCCCCCUGGACAGAUACUGACACUCAGAUGCGAAAGCGUGGGGAGCAAACAGGAUUAGAUACCCUGGUAG
This 239-nucleotide ribosomal RNA is filed under the name uncultured bacterium. RNAcentral describes it as "partial 16S ribosomal RNA". It matches the Rfam family "Bacterial small subunit ribosomal RNA", at positions 556 to 793 of the family's 1533-position model. The record is from RNAcentral.